Molecule: ribosomal RNA, 402 nt
Filed under: uncultured bacterium
Lineage: Bacteria
Description: bacterial SSU rRNA
Rfam family: Bacterial small subunit ribosomal RNA
Source: RNAcentral
UCGGGAAUUUUGGGCAAUGGGCGAAAGCCUGACCCAGCAACGCCGCGUGAGGGAUGAAGUAUUUCGGUAUGUAAACCUCGAAAGAAUGGGAAGAAUAAAUGACGGUACCAUUUAUAAGCUCCGGCUAACUACGUGCCAGCAGCCGCGGUAAUACGUAGGGAGCAAGCGUUGUUCGGAAUUACUGGGCGUAAAGCGCGCGUAGGCGGUUUUUUAAGUCAGAGGUGAAAGCCCGGGGCUCAACCCCGGAAUUGCCUUUGAAACUGGAAAACUAGAAUCUUGGAGAGGUCAGUGGAAUUCCGAGUGUAGAGGUGAAAUUCGUAGAUAUGCGGAAGAACACCAGUGGCGAAGGCGACUGACUGGACAAGUAUUGACGCUGAGGUGCGAAAGCGUGGGGAGCAAACA